Long non-coding RNA from Trifolium pratense (red clover), 1239 nucleotides. RefSeq lists it as uncharacterized. NCBI's taxonomy places the organism in Eukaryota, Viridiplantae, Streptophyta, Magnoliopsida, Fabales, Fabaceae. The transcript is spliced from 6 exons. The record is from RefSeq and is a predicted model, not a curated record.
GGACACAAACCCCCAACAAAAAUACAACACAUCAAGGGUACGUUUGUCAUUUUGCUCUCCAACAAACCUCCCACACGUGAAUGAUGUCACUUUUCUUUUACUUUUUAUAUGUUUCUUUAUCACACGCAGGAAGAGAAAGAAGAACAACUUGCUCUUCACCAUUCACGUCCCCUCUUCUCUCCUCUCUGCCAAACCCCUAUUCUCCCUCCACCACCAUUCAUCGAUGCCAUCGAUCUCCCACUACAACUUGUUCUAAUCGAAUUAUAUCAUUUGAUUUGAUGCAGAUUCGAUUUGAAACUGUUGAUUAUUGCUGAAUUUGGGGUAAAUUUUUGGAUUCAAGUUCCUAUACACAAGGAUGAAUAGGUAGGUUGUUAGUGAGUAACUCAGACUUUGAUAAAAGUAUGACACUGGUUGAGUUUUACUACACCAUGUACAAAAAGUUCAGCUCCUUUACAAGGUUAAGUCCACCCUUCAACUUCACUAGUUUUGUUCAUUCUUUUAAAGAAUGAGAUAGCAGGUUCAUGUAUCUGAAUCGUAGAAAAUUGUUGUAUAACUAUACUGAAGAACGUUUUCUUAUACGCAUAGUAUUAUGAGUAAGGGUGGGUGCUCAGUUUCAGAAGAGUGCAUUGAAGACAAUGAUAGGACGCGUUACUCAGCUUAAGGAUAUAACGAAUGGAUCAUUGUGGCUUUUUUCACAGUACUAGAAAAAUUUGCAGAUGUAGUUACUGGGUGGGUGACCUUGUAUAGAGAAUUGAAGCUUGCUCUCUUUGUUUACAUGUGGUAUCCCAAAACUAAGCAUAAGCUGACAAGCGGCUAAGCAUGCACAUGCUUCAGAUGUGCAAUCAACACUAGAUGACGAUGCUUGAACACAAUGACAGCAGGAUGAGGAUGUUGGCUUAUCAUCAUUUUGCUAUCAUGAGAAUUGUUUAUUGCAUAUGUACUUGGUAUUUGUAUCAUAUUGUGUAUGGGAUGUAAUGAUGCUCACCUAUUUCAAUUUAGAGCUAAAUUGUAAUUUUAAACUUUGGUGACAGUGAAUGCAAUGCAUUAGAGGAAACUCUAAGUUUAGUAUAAUUAUAUCUAGUAUUAAGAAUUUGUUAAGUUUACAUUCCACAUCUAUAUUUGUUAAGUUUAAGUAGUUAACCAAAUAUGUUGUACAACUUCCCAGUUAUCUAAAAUUGACAUUGACUCCCCACAUCUAUAUUGUUAAUAAUUUAAAGGAAUCUCAUUAUUUAUUCACGA